Molecule: ribosomal RNA, 497 nt
Filed under: uncultured bacterium
Lineage: Bacteria
Description: partial 16S ribosomal RNA
Rfam family: Bacterial small subunit ribosomal RNA
Source: RNAcentral
GAUGAACGCUGGCGGCGUGCCUAAUACAUGCAAGUCGAGCGAACAGACGAGGAGCUUGCUCCUCUGACGUUAGCGGCGGACGGGUGAGUAACACGUGGAUAACCUACCUAUAAGACUGGGAUAACUUCGGGAAACCGGAGCUAAUACCGGAUAAUAUAUUGAACCGCAUGGUUCAAUAGUGAAAGACGGUUUUGCUGUCACUUAUAGAUGGAUCCGCGCCGCAUUAGCUAGUUGGUAAGGUAACGGCUUACCAAGGCAACGAUGCGUAGCCGACCUGAGAGGGUGAUAGGCCACACUGGAACUGAGACACGGUCCAGACUCCUACGGGAGGCAGCAGUAGGGAAUCUUCCGCAAUGGGCGAAAGCCUGACGGAGCAACGCCGCGUGAAUGAUGAAGGUCUUCUGAUCGUAAAACUCUGUUAUUAGGGAAGAACAAAUGUGUAAGUAACUAUGCACGUCUUGACGGUACCUAAUCAGAAAGCCACGGCUAACUACGUG